RNAcentral lists this ribosomal RNA (2931 nucleotides) under Enterobacter hormaechei. RNAcentral's name for it is "23S ribosomal RNA". It matches the Rfam family "Bacterial large subunit ribosomal RNA". Lineage: Bacteria; Pseudomonadati; Pseudomonadota; Gammaproteobacteria; Enterobacterales; Enterobacteriaceae. The record is from RNAcentral.
GGGUUGUGAGGUUAAGCGACUAAGCGUACACGGUGGAUGCCCUGGCAGUCAGAGGCGAUGAAGGACGUGCUAAUCUGCGAAAAGCGCCGGCGAGGUGAUAUGAACCUUUGACCCGGCGAUGUCCGAAUGGGGAAACCCAGUGCAAUCCGUUGCACUAUCGUUAACUGAAUACAUAGGUUAACGAGGCGAACCGGGGGAACUGAAACAUCUAAGUACCCCGAGGAAAAGAAAUCAACCGAGAUUCCCCCAGUAGCGGCGAGCGAACGGGGAGCAGCCCGGAGUCUGAAUCAGCUUGUGUGUUAGUGGAACGGUCUGGAAAGUCCGACGAUACAGGGUGAUAGCCCCGUACACGAAAGCACACAUGCUGUGAACUCGAAGAGUAGGGCGGGACACGUGGUAUCCUGUCUGAAUAUGGGGGGACCAUCCUCCAAGGCUAAAUACUCCUGACUGACCGAUAGUGAACCAGUACCGUGAGGGAAAGGCGAAAAGAACCCCGGCGAGGGGAGUGAAAAAGAACCUGAAACCGUGUACGUACAAGCAGUGGGAGCCUCUUUAUGGGGUGACUGCGUACCUUUUGUAUAAUGGGUCAGCGACUUAUAUUCUGUAGCAAGGUUAACCGUAUAGGGGAGCCGAAGGGAAACCGAGUCUUAACUGGGCGUUAAGUUGCAGGGUAUAGACCCGAAACCCGGUGAUCUAGCCAUGGGCAGGUUGAAGGUUGGGUAACACUAACUGGAGGACCGAACCGACUAAUGUUGAAAAAUUAGCGGAUGACCUGUGGCUGGGGGUGAAAGGCCAAUCAAACCGGGAGAUAGCUGGUUCUCCCCGAAAGCUAUUUAGGUAGCGCCUCGUGAACUCAUCUUCGGGGGUAGAGCACUGUUUCGGCUAGGGGGCCAUCCCGGCUUACCAACCCGAUGCAAACUACGAAUACCGAAGAAUGUUAUCACGGGAGACACACGGCGGGUGCUAACGUCCGUCGUGAAGAGGGAAACAACCCAGACCGCCAGCUAAGGUCCCAAAGUCAUGGUUAAGUGGGAAACGAUGUGGGAAGGCACAGACAGCCAGGAUGUUGGCUUAGAAGCAGCCAUCAUUUAAAGAAAGCGUAAUAGCUCACUGGUCGAGUCGGCCUGCGCGGAAGAUGUAACGGGGCUAAACCAUGCACCGAAGCUGCGGCAGCGACACUAUGUGUUGUUGGGUAGGGGAGCGUUCUGUAAGCCGUUGAAGGUGUGCUGUGAGGCAUGCUGGAGGUAUCAGAAGUGCGAAUGCUGACAUAAGUAACGAUAAAGCGGGUGAAAAGCCCGCUCGCCGGAAGACCAAGGGUUCCUGUCCAACGUUAAUCGGGGCAGGGUGAGUCGACCCCUAAGGCGAGGCCGAAAGGCGUAGUCGAUGGGAAACAGGUUAAUAUUCCUGUACUUGGUGUUACUGCGAAGGGGGGACGGAGAAGGCUAUGUCAGCCGGGCGACGGUUGUCCCGGUUUAAGCAUGUAGGCGGAGGUUCCAGGUAAAUCCGGUACCUUGUUAACGCUGAGGUGUGAUGACGAGGCACUACGGUGCUGAAGUGAUAAAUGCCCUGCUUCCAGGAAAAGCCUCUAAGCAUCAGGUAACACGAAAUCGUACCCCAAACCGACACAGGUGGUCAGGUAGAGAAUACCAAGGCGCUUGAGAGAACUCGGGUGAAGGAACUAGGCAAAAUGGUGCCGUAACUUCGGGAGAAGGCACGCUGAUAUGUAGGUGAAGCCCCUGCGGGCGGAGCUGAAAUCAGUCGAAGAUACCAGCUGGCUGCAACUGUUUAUUAAAAACACAGCACUGUGCAAACACGAAAGUGGACGUAUACGGUGUGACGCCUGCCCGGUGCCGGAAGGUUAAUUGAUGGGGUUAGCGGCAACGCGAAGCUCUUGAUCGAAGCCCCGGUAAACGGCGGCCGUAACUAUAACGGUCCUAAGGUAGCGAAAUUCCUUGUCGGGUAAGUUCCGACCUGCACGAAUGGCGUAAUGAUGGCCAGGCUGUCUCCACCCGAGACUCAGUGAAAUUGAACUCGCUGUGAAGAUGCAGUGUACCCGCGGCAAGACGGAAAGACCCCGUGAACCUUUACUAUAGCUUGACACUGAACACUGGUCCUUGAUGUGUAGGAUAGGUGGGAGGCUUUGAAGCGUGGACGCCAGUCUGCGUGGAGCCAACCUUGAAAUACCACCCUUUAAUGGCUGGUGUUCUAACGUAGACCCGUAAUCCGGGUUGCGGACAGUGUCUGGUGGGUAGUUUGACUGGGGCGGUCUCCUCCCAAAGAGUAACGGAGGAGCACGAAGGUUGGCUAAUCCUGGUCGGACAUCAGGAGGUUAGUGCAAUGGCAUAAGCCAGCUUGACUGCGAGCGUGACGGCGCGAGCAGGUGCGAAAGCAGGUCAUAGUGAUCCGGUGGUUCUGAAUGGAAGGGCCAUCGCUCAACGGAUAAAAGGUACUCCGGGGAUAACAGGCUGAUACCGCCCAAGAGUUCAUAUCGACGGCGGUGUUUGGCACCUCGAUGUCGGCUCAUCACAUCCUGGGGCUGAAGUAGGUCCCAAGGGUAUGGCUGUUCGCCAUUUAAAGUGGUACGCGAGCUGGGUUUAGAACGUCGUGAGACAGUUCGGUCCCUAUCUGCCGUGGGCGCUGGAGAAUUGAGGGGGGCUGCUCCUAGUACGAGAGGACCGGAGUGGACGCAUCACUGGUGUUCGGGUUGUCAUGCCAAUGGCACUGCCCGGUAGCUAAAUGCGGAAGAGAUAAGUGCUGAAAGCAUCUAAGCACGAAACUUGCCCCGAGAUGAGUUCUCCCUGAGACCUUGAGUCUCCUGAAGGAACGUUGAAGACUACGACGUUGAUAGGUCGGGUGUGUAAGCGCAGCGAUGCGUUGAGCUAACCGAUACUAAUGAACCGUGAGGCUUAACCUUACAACGCCGAAGCUGUU